Molecule: ribosomal RNA, 253 nt
Filed under: uncultured bacterium
Lineage: Bacteria
Description: partial 16S ribosomal RNA
Rfam family: Bacterial small subunit ribosomal RNA
Source: RNAcentral
UACGAAGGGGGCUAGCGUUGUUCGGAAUUACUGGGCGUAAAGCGCACGUAGGCGGAUAUUUAAGUCAGGGGUGAAAUCCCGGGGCCCAACCCCGGAACUGCCUUUGAUACUGGGUAUCUCGAGUCCGAGAGAGGUGAGUGGAAUUCCGAGUGUAGAGGUGAAAUUCGUAGAUAUUCGGAGGAACACCAGUGGCGAAGGCGGCUCACUGGCUCGGUACUGACGCUGAGGUGCGAAAGCUAGGGGAGCAAACGGG